UACGUAGGGGGCGAGCGUUGUCCGGAUUUAUUGGGCGUAAAGAGCUCGUAGGCGGCUUGGCAAGUCGGGUGUGAAACCUCCAGGCUCAACCUGGAGACGCCACUCGAUACUGCCAUGGCUAGAGUCCGGUAGGGGACCACGGAAUUCCUGGUGUAGCGGUGAAAUGCGCAGAUAUCAGGAGGAACACCGGUGGCGAAGGCGGUGGUCUGGGCCGGCACUGACGCUGAGGAGCGAAAGCCAGGGGAGCAAACGGG
Molecule: ribosomal RNA, 254 nt
Filed under: uncultured bacterium
Lineage: Bacteria
Description: partial 16S ribosomal RNA
Rfam family: Bacterial small subunit ribosomal RNA
Source: RNAcentral